Molecule: ribosomal RNA, 824 nt
Filed under: Endoconidiophora coerulescens
Lineage: Eukaryota; Fungi; Ascomycota; Sordariomycetes; Microascales; Ceratocystidaceae
Also listed under: 3 other names
Description: eukaryotic LSU rRNA
Rfam family: Eukaryotic large subunit ribosomal RNA
Source: RNAcentral
UGCCUUAGUAGCGGCGAGCGAAGCGGCAACAGCUCAAAUUUGAAAUCUGGCUACUUUGUAGUCCGAGUUGUAAUUUGCAGAGGAUGCUUUUGGUGAGGUGCCUUCCGAGUUCCCUGGAACGGGACGCCAGAGAGGGUGAGAGCCCCGUACGGUUGGACACCAAACCUUUGUAUAGCUCCUUCAACGAGUCGAGUAGUUUGGGAAUGCUGCUCUAAAUGGGAGGUAUAUCUCUUCUAAAGCUAAAUACCGGCUAGAGACCGAUAGCGCACAAGUAGAGUGAUCGAAAGAUGAAAAGCACUUUGAAAAGAGAGUUAAACAGCACGUGAAAUUGUUGAAAGGGAAGCGCCUAUGACCAGACUUGUUUCUGUCAGUUUUGCUUGUUUUCGGACUUGUUUACUCUGUCAGUACAGGCCAACAUCAGUUUGUUGUUUGGGAGAAAGGCUUAGGGAAUGUGGCUCCCUCGGGAGUGUUAUAGCCCUUUGCAUAAUACCAUUCGGCAGACUGAGGACCGCGCUUCGGCAAGGAUGUUGGCGUAAUGGUCAUCAGCGACCCGUCUUGAAACACGGACCAAGGAGUCAACCUUAUGUGCGAGUGUUUGGGUGUAAAACCCCAGCGCGUAAUGAACGUGAACGUAGGUGAGAGCUUCGGCGCAUCAUCGACCGAUUCUGAUGUUCUCGGAUGGAUUUGAGUAAGAGCAUAUAGGGUUGGACCCGAAAGAAGGUGAACUAUGCUUGUAUAGGGUGAAGCCAGAGGAAACUCUGGUGGAGGCUCGCAGCGGUUCUGACGUGCAAAUCGAUCGUCAAAUAUGAGCAUGGGGGCGAAAG